GCGAACGCUGGCGGCGUGCUUCACACAUGCAAGUCGAACGGAAAGGCCCUGCUUUUGUGGGGUGCUCGAGUGGCGAACGGGUGAGUAACACGUGAGUAACCUGCCCUUGACUUUGGGAUAACUUCAGGAAACUGGGGCUAAUACCGGAUAGGAGCUCCUGCUGCAUGGUGGGGGUUGGAAAGUUUCGGCGGUUGGGGAUGGACUCGCGGCUUAUCAGCUUGUUGGUGGGGUAGUGGCUUACCAAGGCUUUGACGGGUAGCCGGCCUGAGAGGGUGACCGGCCACAUUGGGACUGAGAUACGGCCCAGACCCCUACGGGAGGCAGCAGUGGGGAAUAUUGCACAAUGGGCGGAAGCCUGAUGCAGCAACGCCGCGUGCGGGAUGACGGCCUUCGGGUUGUAAACCGCUUUCGCCUGUGACGAAGCGUGAGUGACGGUAAUGGGUAAAGAAGCACCGGCUAACUACGUG
RNAcentral lists this ribosomal RNA (467 nucleotides) under uncultured bacterium. Its description in RNAcentral is "partial 16S ribosomal RNA". It matches the Rfam family "Bacterial small subunit ribosomal RNA", at positions 30 to 507 of the family's 1533-position model. The record is from RNAcentral.